This is a long non-coding RNA of Lycium barbarum (goji berry), 572 nucleotides long. RefSeq lists it as uncharacterized. The record is from RefSeq and is a predicted model, not a curated record. Lineage: Eukaryota; Viridiplantae; Streptophyta; Magnoliopsida; Solanales; Solanaceae. The transcript has 3 exons.
AAAAGUUAUUUGCAGAUCCCUCUUUUGUGCAAAACUGCAAAUACUUUCUCCUUUUCUCAUUUCAGAUCCCUUUCUCCUUUUCUCUUUUGCUUUCCUCUCAAAUCAAAGAAAUAAUAUGACACUCAGUAGCUUGUGAUCUUAAUUCUUAGCCAUCGUUUGCCUGUUCUCAUUUCAGAUUUAUCACAGAGCAUUCGGAUCUUAUGAUCUUAGGCUACAGGCUACAAGACUCAACUUUACACUAAAUUGUCUUUCGCUAUGGAAGCAACAACUUCUGGAACUAAAUCGCUAGUGAUUGACAACAACCCUCCGAUUGUGCCAACAGAAUCUCAACAACAACAAGGCUGCAACCUUUGUUUAUUUUUGCCCAGUUGUUGUAGUAUAUUGCACUGAUUUGGAUUUUUGCCCAAUCUUUAAGCUGCAGUGAUUUGGAUUUUUGCCCAAUCUUCAAGCUGCAGUGAUUCCUUUCAGUUGCUGUAGCAUAUUGCACUGAUUUGGAUUUUUGUUUUUGCUACAUCUGACAUUUUAUGGCCAUUUGACAUUUUAGUUAUAUUAUAAAGUUAUAACUUCAAACA